CCUACGGGAGGCAGCAGUAGGGAAUCUUCCACAAUGGACGAAAGUCUGAUGGAGCAACGCCGCGUGAGUGAUGAAGGUUUUCGGAUCGUAAAACUCUGUUGUAAGGGAAGAACAAGUACGAGAGGGAAUGCUCGUACCUUGACGGUACCUUGCGAGAAAGCCACGGCUAACUACGUGCCAGCAGCCGCGGUAAUACGUAGGUGGCAAGCGUUGUCCGGAAUUAUUGGGCGUAAAGCGCGCGCAGGCGGCCUUUUAAGUCUGAUGUGAAAGCCCCCGGCUCAACCGGGGAGGGUCAUUGGAAACUGGAAGGCUUGAGUACAGAAGAGAAGAGUGGAAUUCCAUGUGUAGCGGUGAAAUGCGUAGAGAUGUGGAGGAACACCAGUGGCGAAGGCGACUCUUUGGUCUGUAACUGACGCUGAGGCGCGAAAGCGUGGGGAGCAAACAGGAUUAGAUACCCUGGUAGUCCACGCCGUAAAUGAUGAGUGCUAGGUGGUUGGGGGUUUCCGGUCCCGUCCNGUGCUGAGACUAACGCGAUUAAGACGACUCCGCCGUCGGGGUAGGGUACGGGUCCGGCCGAGGCGUUGUAAACGUUAAACGUUAAGUAAGUUAGUUACGGCGUGAGGACGUUCGCCGACGGACGACCGACGAGGGGAGGUUAGG
Molecule: ribosomal RNA, 660 nt
Filed under: uncultured bacterium
Lineage: Bacteria
Description: bacterial SSU rRNA
Rfam family: Bacterial small subunit ribosomal RNA (bases 1-550)
Source: RNAcentral